UAUAAAUAUGUGAUUGUGGUUCUCACAAUUUACAACAUCCUUCGGGAUGGAUGGCCAAGUGCUAUGCACAAACUCUCUCAAAUAUACACAUACCCUAGCCUAGUUUUGUACCAUAAAUAUUUGUAGUGGAUAGGGCUUGUAAUAUUUAGAGGAGUGGUCAUUGUAGCCAACCUUCGGGUUUGGAUUUGUAGCACCCUUCGAGGUAUUUAUCAAUAUACAGAUAUACCUUGGAAAAUAUUGUGUGUUGGUUUAAUAUUUUCAUAUCCUCAGAAACCGACCCAAUAAAUAUCCGGAACACGAAACCCAUUACAG
RNAcentral lists this long non-coding RNA (312 nucleotides) under Daucus carota (carrot). Its description in RNAcentral is "long non-coding RNA (DCAR_LNC006090)". Lineage: Eukaryota; Viridiplantae; Streptophyta; Magnoliopsida; Apiales; Apiaceae. The record is from RNAcentral.